GGAGCCGGCCCGGCAGGGUGCCAGGUCCCUCUCUGUAUGGGCUCCUCUCCAACUCCUGGGACUGUGUCUCAGGCCUACGCUGCCUGAGCCAGGCGUGCAGGGCGGUGGACGGGCCUUCUUUGCUGCAUGGAUGGCCCAAGAAUAGAAUGGCCCUGGCGAAGAUGCGCUAAGGGGCUGCGCGACACGGGAUUCAUGAAGCAGCCACAGAAGGGAGCCCAGUGGUGGCACGUUCUUGUCCGAAUUGAAGAAAAGAGGGAUAGGAGGAACUGGUAGAUGGAGCUCAUAGCUCCACAGUUCUAGUCACAACGAUGGUGAGGGUGUCGUGGCAGUGCAGGGCCUGACACAGGAUUGAACAGCUAUAAGUUAUUGCUCUGGUUUUUAUUUUGAGACAAGGUCUCAUGUAGUCAAGCCAUCUCGACCUCAAAGUUGCUAUGUAGCCAACCUUAGAGUCAUCCUCUCUACCUCCCCAGUCCUGGGAUUGCAGGUAGGAGCCUCCACGCCUAGAGGAUACAACACUGAGUAUUGAAUCCAGGGUCUUCUGCGUGCUUGGCAAAGACUCCCCUAAUUGAGCUGCGUCCUUGACCCUGUUUUUUGUUGUUUUUGUUGGGUCAGGGUCUUGCUUUUGUGGGCCAGGAUGGCCUCCAACUUUGCCAGAUUCCCUUUCUUCUGUCUGGGAUUAUAACAUGCGCCACAACACUUCAUUAGCUCUUGGUUUGGUUUGGUUUUUAUAUGGAGCAUUGUCCAAAGUCCUUGCUGGUUAUGACGCACAAACUGAAAAGGGUGUGGAUCGAGGCUGAGCUCUCUGUCCCGCGUCAAUCCAAAAGAGGGGAGGAGAAGGACCCCUGACCCAAAUCAUCGUGGCCAGAUUUAUGAAAGCAAGCGAGCAAUUAAAGCAAGCUUUUCUUAUUCCUGUACCCAGGCCGCCUUCCCCUAAGGCAGGGUUUGAGAGGUCGGCCCUGGACACGAGGAAGACCAGAUGUUUAUAGCUUGGGGGGUAGGGUGUUUCCAAAUGGGGAAUUUGGUGGGUGAAAUAGGUGGGAUUGGAGGGACAGAACAUAAGCGUACAGGUUAGUCAUAAGGAUCUCCUGAAACACAGACAUGAUUGCGAGGUGGCCAGAAGGUAGUCAUGACAACAGAUAGACAUAACCACCUUUUGAAACAAAGGUAGGGUUGCCCGACUGUUAUAACUUUUUGAAACAAAGACCUGGUUGCCGUUU
RNAcentral lists this long non-coding RNA (1217 nucleotides) under Mus pahari (shrew mouse). RNAcentral's name for it is "lncRNA (MGP_PahariEiJ_G0002324.1)". Lineage: Eukaryota; Metazoa; Chordata; Mammalia; Rodentia; Muridae. The record is from RNAcentral.